RNAcentral lists this ribosomal RNA (2968 nucleotides) under human gut metagenome. RNAcentral describes it as "bacterial LSU rRNA". The stretch from base 396 to 2968 matches the Rfam family "Bacterial large subunit ribosomal RNA". The record is from RNAcentral.
ACGUUCGUUGUCGACAUAUAUUGCGAUUCUUGCAUAAUUCUCGUCAUUGCCCGCUGUCGAUGCAAAGUCGCCUGUAACGGUGAUUUCGAGUUUUUUACCCGUGAAAAUGAAUUCCGCACCCGCACCGGAAAAUGCCGCCCACAGCGUAUCGUUAUAUAAAUAGGUUCUUCCGAUCGUUUUUACGGAUUUAUCAUUAAGUACAAUCGCCUUUCUGUUGUUCAUAGUUGCUCCUCGCUUAUAAUUCUUAUUUUAUCGGGUUAAUUUCAGCCUUAAUCUGCGCUUAACUCUUUUAUCGACAUUGCGGUACGGAACAGUUCGUCCCUGCCAAAACCGGUUGCUGUGAUAUGGAACAUAUACUCGCCGUUAUCCCACAUAAGAAAUGCCAUACCUUUUUUGGAAACGCAAUACAUCGCACUUUUAUCCCCCAGUUUGACUUUUUCGGGAGAAAUCUGCGCAUCCUCCGUUCCGAUCUGUGCAUUUUCCAUCUGUGAUCUUGUACAUUGAGUAAAAAUCAGCUGUUUGCCGUGCUUAUUUAUGUAUUCGACAAUAUAGGCAUAUUCGGUUUUUUCUAUAAGCCGUGUGGCGUAUGCGUAGCGAAAGCGAGUCUUAAAAGGCGUUUUUAGUCGCUUGUCCUGGACCCGAAGCGGGAUGAUCUAGCCCUGGGCAGGUUGAAGCGCGGGUAAGACCGCGUGGAGGACCGAACCCACCUGGGUUGAAAACCGGGGGGAUGACCUGGGGCUAGGGGUGAAAGGCCAAUCAAAUUCCGUGAUAGCUGGUUCUCUCCGAAAUGCAUUUAGGUGCAGCGUCGGUCGAUUGCGUCGCGGGGGUAGAGCUACCGGAUGCUUGCGGGCCCUUGUUGGGUACCAACAGCAGCCGAACUCCGAAUACCGUUGACGUGUAUUCCGGCAGUGAGUCGGCGGGGGAUAAGCUCCGUCGUCGAGAGGGAGACAGCCCAGACCGUCGUCUAAGGUCCCGAAGCGUGUGCUAAGUGGGAAAGGAUGUGGAGUCGCAUAGACAGCCAGGAGGUUGGCUCAGAAGCAGCCAUCCUUGAAAGAGUGCGUAACAGCUCACUGGUCUAGUGGUUCCGCGCCGACAAUGUAGCGGGGCUCAAGCACACCACCGAAGACGCGGCAGUAUUUUGUACUGGGUAGGAGAGCGUCCCAUGAGGGGCGAAGCGGCCGUGUGAACGCGCCGUGGACUUCAUGGGAGUGAGAAUGCAGACAUGAGUAGCGAGAGACGGGUGAGGAUCCCGUCCGCUGGAUGACCAAGGGUUCCGGGGCCACGUUCGUCGUCCCCGGGUGAGUCGGGUCCUAAGGCGAGGCCGACAGGCGUAGUCGAAUGGAUGAACGGGUGGAUAUUCCCGUACCGACCAUGGACCGGCAAAACCGAGACGGUGAGUACUAACCUCCGCCUCGUGGUGGUUCCUUCCUUCGGGUUGGUUCCGCCGCGUGGUGUUGGGACCGUAGCCGCAGUAGGUCAGCGCAGGGGUGACACGGAAUGGGAGCCGGCCGCGGAGGUGGUUUUCCGUGGUCAAGCACGCAGCCAGUCAUGUAGGCAAAUCCGCAUGGCGCGCAUGGCGAGGUGUGAUGAUGGGAGCCGUUAUGGCUCGAUAUCCGGUUGUCCAGGCCGUCGAGAAAAGCCUCGGCGUGAGGGCCAUGGCCGCCCGUACCCCAAACCGACACUGGUGGUCAGGUAGAGAAUACCAAGGCGAUCGAGCGAAUCCUGGUCAAGGAACUCGGCAAAUCACUCCCGUGCCUUCGGUAUAAGGGAGACCCGCUGGGGUGAACCGGCUAGCCCGGGGAGCUUUGGUGGGUGGCACAGACCAGGGGGUAGCGACUGUUUACCAAAAACACAGGUGCAUGCGAAGGCGAAAGCCGCUGUAUAUGCACUGACGCCUGCCCGGUGCCGGAAGGUUAAGAGGAUCCGUCAAUCCCUUCGGGGACGAAGCGGUGAAUUCAAGCCCCGGUAAACGGCGGUGGUAACUAUAACCAUCCUAAGGUAGCGAAAUUCCUUGUCGGGUAAGUUCCGACCUGCACGAAUGGCGUAACGACUUCCCCGCUGUCUCCAACAUAGGCUCAGCGAAAUUGAAUUCUGAGUUAAGAUGCUCAGUACCCGCGGUUAGACGGAGAGACCCCGUGAACCUUUACUAUAGCUUUGCAGUGGUAUUAGGUAAGACAUGUGUAGGAUAGGUGGGAUGCUAUGAAGGUAGGACGCUAGUUUUACUGGAGCAGACGUUGAAAUACCACCCUUGUGUUAUUUGAUAUCUAACCUACUUCCGUAAACCGGAAGAGGGACCCUGCAUGGUGGGUAGUUUGACUGGGGCGGUCGCCUCCCAAAGAGUAACGGAGGCGCCCAAAGAUACCCUCAGCUUGGAUGGAAACCAAGCGCAGAGUGCAAAGGCAAAAGGGUGUUUGACUGCGAGACCCACAAGUCGAGCAGGGACGAAAGUCGGGCUUAGUGAUCCGGCGGUGCUGAAUGGAAAGGCCGUCGCUCAACGGAUAAAAGCUACCCUGGGGAUAACAGGCUGAUCUCCCCCAAGCGUCCACAGCGACGGGGAGGUUUGGCACCUCGAUGUCGGCUCGUCACAUCCUGGGGCUGAAUUCGGUCCCAAGGGUUCGGCUGUUCGCCGAUUAAAGUGGCACGCGAGCUGGGUUCAGAACGUCGUGAGACAGUUCGGUCCCUAUCUGUCGUGGGCGCAGGAAAUUUGAGAAGAGCUGUCCUCAGUACGAGAGGACCGGGAUGGACGCAUCAAUGGUGGACCAGUUGUCACGCCAGUGGCAUAGCUGGGUAGCUAAAUGCGGAAGGGAUAAACGCUGAAGGCAUCUAAGUGUGAAACCCACUUCAAGAUGAGAUUUCCCAUUGCGCAAGCAAGUAAGACCCCUUAAAGACGAUAAGGUAGAUAGGUCAGGAGUGUAAGCAUGGUGACAUGUUAAGCGGACUGAUACUAAUAGGUCGAGGGCUUGACCGA